RNAcentral lists this ribosomal RNA (575 nucleotides) under uncultured soil bacterium. RNAcentral describes it as "bacterial SSU rRNA". It matches the Rfam family "Bacterial small subunit ribosomal RNA", at positions 35 to 603 of the family's 1533-position model. The record is from RNAcentral.
GCUGGCGGCAUGCUUUACACAUGCAAGUCGAGCGGCAGCGCGGGGGCAACCCUGGCGGCGAGCGGCGAACGGGUGAGUAAUGCAUCGGAACGUGUCCGGGAGUGGGGGAUAACGCCGCGAAAGCGGCGCUAAUACCGCAUAUUCUCUGAGGAGGAAAGCGGGGGACUCGCAAGGGCCUCGCGCUCGCGGAGCGGCCGAUGUCCGAUUAGGUUGUUGGUGGGGUAAUGGCCUACCAAGCCUGCGAUCGGUAGCUGGUCUGAGAGGAUGAUCAGCCACACUGGGACUGAGACACGGCCCAGACUCCUACGGGAGGCAGCAGUGGGGAAUUUUGGACAAUGGGGGCAACCCUGAUCCAGCCAUGCCGCGUGCGGGAAGAAGGCCUUCGGGUUGUAAACCGCUUUUAGCCGGGAAGAAAAGGCCACGGAUAACACCCGUGGUUCUUGACGGUACUGGCGGAAUAAGCACCGGCUAACUACGUGCCAGCAGCCGCGGUAAUACGUAGGGUGCGAGCGUUAAUCGGAAUUACUGGGCGUAAAGCGUGCGCAGGCGGUUCGUUGUGUCUGUGGUGAAAACCC